UACCUACGGGGGGCAGCAGUGGGGAAUAUUGCGCAAUGGGCGAAAGCCUGACGCAGCGACGCCGCGUGAAGGAAGAAGGCUUUCGGGUUGUAAACUUCUUUUCUCAGGGACGAAGCAAGUGACGGUACCUGAGGAAUAAGCCACGGCUAACUACGUGCCAGCAGCCGCGGUAAUACGUAGGUGGCAAGCGUUAUCCGGAUUUACUGGGUGUAAAGGGCGUGUAGGCGGGGACGCAAGUCAGAUGUGAAAACCAUGGGCUCAACCUGUGGCCUGCAUUUGAAACUGUGUUUCUUGAGUACUGGAGA
Molecule: ribosomal RNA, 305 nt
Filed under: uncultured bacterium
Lineage: Bacteria
Description: bacterial SSU rRNA
Rfam family: Bacterial small subunit ribosomal RNA
Source: RNAcentral